AUGGGCCUUUUGUGUAAGGAUGGCGCCUUCUUCUGGGCUAAUUGGGCUUCACGUUGCCGGGCCUACAUAGGACGAAAAGAAGAGAGGUUUUUCGGCCCAAUCUUCCGAGCCCAGCUCCUUCCCCUUCUUUCAUUCCCUCCCCUCUCACUCGUCUCUCCCCUGCCAGCCGCCGCCGCCGCCACCCGGCUCCUCCGCGACCUCCACCUCACCGCCGCCCAGAUCCAACUCCGCCGACGAGCCCAACCGCCUCCACCGUCCCCAUCCGCGCCGUCGUCGCAGAGCGAGCCUCAACGACGGCCCCGUCGUCCUCCGCCUCCAGCGGGUCCCGCCGCCCCUGCUGCUCCGUCCCCCGACACCUCUUGCCACCGGAGUUGGCCCUCCAGCCAAGGUGGUGCAAUGGCCUCAGGCAUCAUGUUCCGACGUCUUUCCAAGACACUCACCAUGAGCCCAGCAACAGCACUGGCAUCUGGUAUGACCAGCCAGCACCACCAGCUUCAGCAGCGUGCACCGGUGAGUGGCACGUCCAAGGGCAAGGCGAAGCUCAAAGCUGGGAUGCCUCUGAGGCGUAGCGUCAUAGCCAAGAAGGGGGGCGCGCCUGCCACUGCUGGGAGCGGCGGCGCUGGCCGUGGUCGCCGUGAAGCCAUGGAGCGUAUUACUCAGAUUGCAGAGUCUUGUCUGAAGUCCUCCACUCCUCUACGGCACCUGUCCCCCAAGGAGCGUCUCCGCGAGGCAAAGCGUGAGGAGCUUGGGCUCAUCUCCAAGGAACGGCAACGUGAGCUUGACGCUGCCAAGGCUAAAGCUAAAGCUAAAUCCAAGGGUGCCAGUGGAGGUGAUGGUGACCGUGUUCUGAUGGGUCCGCCGGGCCUUGACUAUAUCAGUCUUGGUCUGGUGGAUGAGGAGACUAUCCCUGAGUAUGAGCUGACAGUUGAAGAUGGCCGGCGUCUUGCCAAGGAAUACAGCCGUGUGCUAAUACGACGACACCGUGCACGUCAAACUGCAGAGUCAACGCUCUUGAGGCUCAAGAAGGAGGCCAUUGCUGCACUCCCUGAGAAGCUGCGGGCUGCUGCUAUGGUUCCUGACAUGACCCCGUUCCCUGCAAACCGGUACAUGGCAACACUCACGCCACCGAUUGAAGGGUAUAUUGAAAAGGUGCGAGAUGCUGCCAAGAAGUAUUCAGUGAAGGAGAAACUUCGCUGA
RNAcentral lists this ribosomal RNA (1197 nucleotides) under Triticum aestivum (bread wheat). RNAcentral's name for it is "partial small subunit ribosomal RNA". Lineage: Eukaryota; Viridiplantae; Streptophyta; Magnoliopsida; Poales; Poaceae. The record is from RNAcentral.